This 429-nucleotide ribosomal RNA is filed under the name Actinomycetes bacterium. Its description in RNAcentral is "Actinobacteria bacterium partial 16S ribosomal RNA". It matches the Rfam family "Bacterial small subunit ribosomal RNA", at positions 355 to 776 of the family's 1533-position model. Lineage: Bacteria; Bacillati; Actinomycetota; Actinomycetes. The record is from RNAcentral.
UAGGGAAUCUUCCGCAAUGGGCGAAAGCCUGACGGAGCAACGCCGCGUGAGUGAUGAAGGUCUUCGGAUCGUAAAACUCUGUUAUUAGGGAAGAACAAAUGUGUAAGUAACUAUGCACGUCUUGACGGUACCUAAUCAGAAAGCCACGGCUAGCUACGUGCCAGCAGCCGCGGUAAUACGUAGGUGGCAAGCGUUAUCCGGAAUUAUUGGGCGUAAAGCGCGCGUAGGCGGUUUUUUAAGUCUGAUGUGAAAGCCCACGGCUCAACCGUGGAGGGUCAUUGGAAACUGGAAAACUUGAGUGCAGAAGAGGAAAGUGGAAUUCCAUGUGUAGCGGUGAAAUGCGCAGAGAUAUGGAGGAACACCAGUGGCGAAGGCGACUUUCUGGUCUGUAACUGACGCUGAUGUGCGAAAGCGUGGGGAUCAAACAGG